Molecule: long non-coding RNA, 4518 nt
Filed under: Heterocephalus glaber (naked mole-rat)
Lineage: Eukaryota; Metazoa; Chordata; Mammalia; Rodentia; Bathyergidae
Description: lncRNA (ENSHGLG00000035714.1)
Source: RNAcentral
GUGGCUAAUCCGUGCGCAGCUCUGGCCACCCGGGCCGCCCCCACGAGACCCAAGGGACCGCACGAAGUCGGAGAGACCCGGGAGGGAUGGCGCAAGGGCCCCCGUGGGCGGAGAACCCAGCCCCCUGGCGAGCGCCUCGUCCUCGCUGCUGACCCCGCGCCCAGCCACCCGAGCGCUUUCCGCUUUGUAUGGCAACGCGGGGAGGCAUCGGCAUGUGGAGUGAGCCGAAGGCCGAGUCCUGCACAGGCCGGGUGUCACCACUCCGCGGUCCAUGCUUCCUCCGCGGGAGGAUUGCCUGCUUGCUACCCAGACAGACUCUGAAAGAAGUUGAGAGUGAGAUGGUGCCAGGCUUGGUCCUGGCACCAAAUUCUGGCCCUUUUUUCCUCACCUGCCUAAAGGUGCUUAGACUCAGCUCCUUAGCGCACAACUGUUGCCCUGUAUUCUCCUUGGCUGUGCCAGCCCCUGAAGCAGGCAGAGGCUAAAUCCAAAUCACUUCCCGCUGCCAUAUUUCUGAGGAGCUCGUGUGUUUCUAUUGGCCUCUGAGUUUGGGUGGUUUUCUCGCCCUCGGAGCCGGAAAUUAACUCCUUCAUUAACAUCCACCACACACCAGGAACGACAUGGCCCUUACCUGCCCACAGCGUUGUGGAUCACCUUUUCCCUGGAAAUUUCUGCAGCUAAAGCCCAGCUGAGAAGAGCCUGUGGUUAUAUGAGGAUGCCAGGCUUCCUAUGUUGUUUAGUAUCAAAGAAAGCAUUGCUAUAUUUUAUGUACUCAGGGACCAAAGGCCAAGAGACUCAUGAGUGACUCAAUACUUCCUUCCCUUCUCUUAAAGAAACAGAUGUCUGAGGAUCGAGGGCCCUAAAUGAAGAUUCAUGACAGUUAUUUCCACAAAGGAUAGAUAGACAGUAGAUAGAUGGAUAGAAAUAUAUAUCUAUGUGCAAUAAAAAGAUAUACUGAAGAUGUCAUGUUUCUAAAGGAAAUUCUGAGGGCAAUUUAAAUAGAUUCCUUGUGGACAUGCUUGUCAUGAGUAUUGGUAGAGAGAUUAUUGUGUCCACACGUGCAAUAAGUGAGAUUCAAGUGGGCUACUGUGUUUAAGUGUACCCCAUCAGCUAUUGAUGAAAUGAGGCCUGGAAUGUCUGCUCUUUGGUGUUUUUGUGUCCCCCUCCCAGGUCCUACCCAUUUAUGGUAAAAACAUACCCAUCUGCCACCUUGUAAUCCUGAGCACAGGCAAAAAAGCUAAAGCAAACUUGAAGUGCAUCCCUUUCAUGGGAAACACCCCCUCCCCAGUUGACAACUGCAUGAUUUUCAUGACAAAGGAAGGUACUGCUGUGCUUUGAAACCUACCGGUAGGUAGGUAAGUAUUGUCCACAGAAGGAAGGCCCCUGGAGGAUGACCAGGCCUUAGUCCUGGGGGUCUGUGAACAAGUCGAAGAGGAAUUAAGGUUCUGUAUGGAAUUAAACAUCUGACCUUAAAGAUUAUCCUGGCUCCUCAAAAACAACAACAAAGAUUAUCCUGGCUUAUCCCAGAUAAGACCAAUGUAAUCACAAAGGUCCUAAGAAGGUGCAGUGGGGUGAUGGUGGAAGCAAACUCCAGAGAGAUAUGAAGAUGCUGGUUUAAACAGGGAGAAAGGAGCCACGAGCCAAGGAAUGUGGGCAGCCCAAGAAUGUGGGCCAGAAAAAGCAAGGAAAUGGGUUUUUUCCUAGGGCUUCCAGAAAGGAUCACAGACCUGCUGAAACCUUUGCGUUUAACCCAGUGAAAUGCAUGUUAGAGAUUUCAUCUACAGAGCUAUAAGAAAAUUAGUGUUGUCUUAAACCACUAAUUAAGUGGUAAUUUAUUAUAGCAGCGAUAGGAAGCUUGCACAGAGGAAUCUGGUUAUUACUGAGAUUUUAUCUCCUUUCUGAAGGAUUUUUAGGGAAACAUCUUGAAAUUCACAAAUGUCUCUGGAGUUUUGGACCAUUCAUUCAUCACAGAAGAAAUCCUCUGGCUGAGGAAGUCUGACCCAGUAUCUCUCUAAGGUCCCCAAGCUGAGAAAGUACAAUGCUCUUGGGCUGCUCGCAUCAGGCAGAGCCACGUUCAGGAAUAUUUAAAAGCUGUCUUUAUUCUUGCUCCCCAUUAGAAGAUGAAUUCAAGGGUUCCAAAUAUCACAAGUGUUUAAGAUUCACAUCUUCCCAUGUGACCAAGAUGCAUCCACAUCAGAAACUCUCUGCCAAUCCACCCAGCCCUGGUCCUGGGUAGAGCCAGGAAUGUUGCCUGAAUAAACCUGAAGCUAUGGGUGCAUUGCUGUCUCCUUCUGCUCCAGGACAGGGCAACAACAUAUAAUACCAGUAUACAAGAGAACAAGUGCAUGCUUGUGGGAUCUGCAGAAUGAAUCACUGGAUGCAAGAAUAUGUCUCAGAAAUUGCAUCCAUGGCUGCAUCUUUACUGUCCUAAGGAUUUCUUAGGUCUCAGAAAUGGGCUGUGGCCUCUGUCAGCAACACGGCCUGCAUGAAUGUUUUCAACAAUGCCCUCGUGCAGAGGAUGUUGUGUUACCUUCUGCAGAGUCCUGGAGUCUCUAGAGUUCUUUUAAAGUCUGUUUGGGAGGCACCCACAGCACCUAAAACCACAGCCGGUCAACUUUUAUCUGUCAUUUCUUCGGGUUUCACAUAAGAUUUUGUUAGGGGAAGAGGCUCAUUAGGAGGGAAGAAAAAGAAAAUGAAGCCCAAUUCGUAGAGAACUUCUGCUGCUAUAAUCCUAGAAUCCAACCUGAGACCCUGGGAGGGUCAAAGGCAGCACAGCAACAAAGCAGGUGUCUAGCUUACAGACUGAAAAACUUAAGUAAUAAUGAACCUUUCAUAUAUUACCGGGCCCCGACACCAAAUCAUAGCUAACUAUUUUGUCCAUAUGCCCACUCCCUCUGCACUCCUAGAUUAUUUUGAAGCAAAUGUGAGGUAACAUAAUUAUAUCCAUUAACAUUUCUGUUUGAAUCUCUAGAAGGCAAGGCCUAGCAAGGGAAUUUUAAAAAUCUAACUCUUUAUUCUUACUCCCUAGCCUCUCCUUAAAAGACAAGCCCUACUGAACAUGAAAAUAUGAAUAGGAGGUAAUCACAAACAUAGGUCUGUGAGCUAAAAAUUACUUAAAUAAGACUCACUGGGUUACUGUUAAUAUGCAGAUUCCUGGGCCCAGCUCCCAGUCUUCUCGUUCAGGUUAGGGGAGGAGUUCAGGAACAUGCACUUUAGCAAGCGUAUUCUGGAUAAUACUGAUGAAGAUGCUUUUCAAACCCCACUUGGGGAAACUCUGAAUAUGAACUUUUGUGGCAGGUGGCACUGGUUGCCUCCAUCACUGCAGCCCCCUCGUUGUUUAUGUCCUACUUCGGUAUAGGCAUUGUCCUGGGACACAGGCUGGGCCAAUAAAACAGAAGAGGAAUCAGCCAGGCCUUCUGGAGACAUGUGCCUCACGCUUCAGGAUAUAAAAGAUGACAUGCUUUCUAUCCUUCACAUGACUUCUUGCCAUCAGCACUGACAUGUGAGAAUACUCUCCCUUGAAGUUAUGGCAUCCAGAUUGAAACGACAAAGGAGGACAUCAACCUACAUACUCAGUGUGGGUAGAGGGAAGAGGAAAAGGAGGGGGUCCUCAGUGACGUCCUGAGCUAAUGAAUUCCUCAUUCUCAGAAAUGCCCCACCUCUGGUCUUCCUGCUGGACAAUCCUACAAGCCACCAGGAAAUCUACAAGGAACUUUCUAGCAUUGUAGCAGCUGCAAAGAAGAAUUUUAGAAACAGAUUGUUACAGUUCCAUGAGAUGGAGACAACCCCGUGUUUUCUUCUCCAGAUGAAGUCAAAUUUGAAGAACUUGAUCUUUCCUGCUUACACUGGUUAGAUUUUGGAAAUCUGGAAAUGGAGCUAUUGGAAUUUCAAGAAAGCUCUAUCUGGAAAAAUAAAUUCUAUGACCUGUGUGCAACACCAGAGAAUAUAGAGACAAUAGAGUAUGAAGAUGACAAAGGACAACACAGUGGGUAGUUCUGAAAAUAUAAUCCUUGAAGUGUGGAAUUCUCUGCCAAAUAAUUUUAAAUCAGUGAAAGCACUUGGGAUUGCUUUUCUUACUUUGUUUGGAUCAUCUCAUGCUUGUGAGCAGCUGUUUUUACCUUUUAAUUACACCAAAUCUGACACAAGAAGCAGACUGACAGAUGACCUGCAUGCUGCAUGUGUUGCUCUCAAAAAAACUAACGAAGUGUGAGCCAAGGUUUGACAAACUAUCAGCAUGCACACAACAGCAAAGAUCACAUUAAUUGUGCAAAAGCACAACCAAAUGCAAACUUUUACUUUUCAAUAAAAAGCUGUUUGUAUCAUUGAAACCUCUAUUAUUGUGUUCUUCUUUUAAGACAAAAGAUUUUAAUAUAUGAGUUGUUUUUUCUAAACUAAAACCUUAGUAUUCAGGUUUAAUUGCAGUGUUGCACUUUGUGAUAAAUAAGUAGGUUUUAGAUUGCAGUUUGGGCUCUUGGUCUCUAAAAGCUUCACCAUCACUGUGUUAUGUUUUCCAGCAGGGCU